UACGAAGGGGGCUAGCGUUGCUCGGAGUCACUGGGCGUAAAGGGUGCGUAGGCGGGUCUUUAAGUCAGGGGUGAAAUCCUGGAGCUCAACUCCAGAACUGCCUUUGAUACUGAGGAUCUUGAGUUCAGGAGAGGUGAGUGGAACUGCGAGUGUAGAGGUGAAAUUCGUAGAUAUUCGCAAGAACACCAGUGGCGAAGGCGGCUCACUGGCCCGAUACUGACGCUGGGGCACGAAAGCGUGGGGAGCAAACAGG
RNAcentral lists this ribosomal RNA (253 nucleotides) under uncultured bacterium. RNAcentral describes it as "partial 16S ribosomal RNA". It matches the Rfam family "Bacterial small subunit ribosomal RNA", at positions 524 to 776 of the family's 1533-position model. The record is from RNAcentral.